CCUACGGGGGGCAGCAGUGGGGAAUAUUGGACAAUGGGCGAAAGCCUGAUCCAGCCAUGCCGCGUGUGUGAAGAAGGCCUUCGGGUUGUAAAGCACUUUCAGUGGGGAAGAAAGCCUUGGGGCUAAUACCCUCGAGGAAGGACAUCACCCACAGAAGAAGCACCGGCUAACUCCGUGCCAGCAGCCGCGGUAAUACGGAGGGUGCGAGCGUUAAUCGGAAUUACUGGGCGUAAAGCGCGCGUAGGCGGUCUGAUAAGCCGGUUGUGAAAGCCCCGGGCUCAACCUGGGAACGGCAUCCGGAACUGUCAGGCUAGAGUGCAGGAGAGGAAGGUAGAAUUCCCGGUGUAGCGGUGAAAUGCGUAGAGAUCGGGAGGAAUACCAGUGGCGAAGGCGGCCUUCUGGACUGACACUGACGCUGAGGUGCGAAAGCGUGGGCAGCAAACAGGAUUAGAUACCCGAGUAGUC
This 465-nucleotide ribosomal RNA is filed under the name Vreelandella stevensii. RNAcentral describes it as "partial 16S ribosomal RNA". It matches the Rfam family "Bacterial small subunit ribosomal RNA", at positions 338 to 795 of the family's 1533-position model. Lineage: Bacteria; Pseudomonadati; Pseudomonadota; Gammaproteobacteria; Oceanospirillales; Halomonadaceae. The record is from RNAcentral.